Molecule: ribosomal RNA, 450 nt
Filed under: uncultured bacterium
Lineage: Bacteria
Description: partial 16S ribosomal RNA
Rfam family: Bacterial small subunit ribosomal RNA
Source: RNAcentral
GUAGGGAAUCUUCCACAAUGGACGAAAGUCUGAUGGUGCAACGCCGCGUGGAGGAUGAAGGUCUUCGGAUUGUAAACUCCUGUCAUCUGGGAGUAAGACCUGACGGUGAAUAGCCGGCAGGGUUGAUAGUACCAGAAGAGGAAGGGACGGCUAACUUCGUGCCAGCAGCCGCGGUAAUACGAAGGUCCCAAGCGUUGUUCGGAAUCACUGGGCGUAAAGGGAGCGUAGGCGGCGUGGUAAGUCAGAUGUGAAAUCCCGGGGCUCAACCCCGGAACUGCAUCCGAUACUGCCAUGCUUGAGGGUUGGAGAGGUAGCUGGAAUUCUCGGUGUAGCAGUGAAAUGCGUGGAUAUCGAGAGGAACACUCGUGGCGAAGGCGAGCUACUGGACAACAUCUGACGCUGAGGCUCGAAGGCCAGGGGAGCAAAAGGGAUUAGAUACCCGUGUAGUCC